GGAUUAGAUACCCUGGUAGUCCUAGCUGUAAACGAUGGGCACUAGGUUGCGGGGGUUUCGAUGGCUCUCGUUUCCGUAACUAAUGCGUUAAGUGCCCCGCCUGGGGAGUACGGUCGCAAGGCUAAAACUCAAAGGAAUUGACGGGGGCUCACACAAGCGGUGGAGCAUGUUGCUUAAUUCGAAGCAACGCGAAGAACCUUACCCAGGUUCGAAGUGCUAGGAUUAGCUUCCUGAAAGGGAAGUGACGCCCUCGUGGUGGAACUAGUAUAGGUGUUGCAUGGCUGUCGUCAGCUCGUGUUG
Molecule: ribosomal RNA, 300 nt
Filed under: uncultured bacterium
Lineage: Bacteria
Description: bacterial SSU rRNA
Rfam family: Bacterial small subunit ribosomal RNA
Source: RNAcentral